UUUCCUUUUAUUUUCUUUUGCUGAUAUGAUUGACUUACUGCCUGUUUUGUUCGAUUUUGUCUCCUUAGAUCCGUUUCUUAGUUUGGUCACUUUCUUGUUGAAUUGAUUGAAAUUACAAUUAUUUAUUAGAAUGAUUGAGAUCUGCUCUGUUUUGUUUGGUAUUUACCAUAGUUUGAUACUUCUGAGAUAUAGUUUAUUUCUGUUCAUCCUGUUGAAUUGAUUUGGACUUCGUUUUCUUUUUCGGUUCCCUUUUCCCAUUUUUACAUGUACUAUUAUCAAGUGUACUGAUAGUUGAUGCUUGUGCUGUUGUUAACUUACUUUGGUACUACAAUUUAUGUAAAAUUAUAUGACUAGAAUGAUGUCUAUCGUUGAAUAUCCUACAUGGUAUUCUAGGACCUGAUGUCAGCAUGUUGAUGUUUGCAGUGACAAUUUCUAGCUUGGAGAUACCAUUUCAGUAGCUCGGAAGAUCAACUUCUCUGAGAAUUUGAUGUGAGCCCCACUAAUCAUGGCUUCGAGGGCACCUGUUGGUGGAUUCCAACGACUCUCAUCUGCUUUGUCUUCAGCUGCUCUUGAAUGGAUGUUGAUGCUUCUGUUAUUCUUUGAUGCCUUGUUUGCCUACCUGGUGACAAGGUUCUCUCGUCUUUGCAUGCUACAAAAACCUUGUAUGUUUUGCUCAAGGCUAGAUCAUGUUUUUGGAAAUGAGAAACGAGGCUUCUAUCUGGAUUUGAUCUGUGAAACUCACAGAUCAGAGAUCUCAUUGUUGGGUUGCUCUAAUGGUCAUGAAAAGCUUGCUGAUGUUCAUACCGUGUGCCAGGGCUGUUUUCUUUCAUUUGAUACCGAAGGGACAUCCAACUCUGAGACUUACAAAUCAUUGGUUGGUGAGUUAAAAGGGCAUCUUGAGGACGGUGAAGAUGUUCAGGACAUUGAUGGCCUCCAUCUGUUUCAUGGGGAUGAAUUGGCAAAUGUCCCUUUUUUAAAGAAGGAUGAUGAACUACAUGCCAUCAAGUCGCUUGAAGAUAAAUCCAUAAGAGUUGAUGUUUCUGAAGUUGACAUUUCUUUGUCAAGUUCAAAUGGGCACAGUUAUCUACAGAAUAAAGAUGGAGCGAAAAAGACGAGAGAGAAAACCUUGGUUUCCCCAGCAUAUCAUUAUUCAAAGAAUCAAGAACAUGAUCACUUCUCUCAUGUUGGAUACAGUGAAGUUAAAAUUACUUCGGACUCUGAUUCUGACUUAGAGAUCCAGUUCACAGAUGAUGAUGAAGGAAAUUCUCCAUCUCAUCGAGCUGAAACUGUCAUGUAUGAUUUGGUGUCUCAUGUUGAAGAAUCAGAGGGUGUCACUCUAAUAAAAAAUGAUUUAUCUGGAAGUGUUUCAGGUGAAAGAGCCACAGAAAAGUUGAUUCGUACGGAUCAAAUUAGUGUUUCAGAUGCUAAACCCCUUGAAAAGUUGACCGACCCUGCUCCAGUAAUUAGUGACCCUUUUGAGUCAAUUCCUGAAAAGCAAAGAAAUGCAGAUAAUUUGAAGUUUAGUGAUGCUGCUUAUGGUCAAACUACUACUAUUGAUGAUGCAAAGGAUUGCUGUACAACUGACAUCACUUUGAGGACAAGUCAUGAUGCAAAUUUUAUUGUUUCUGAUGAUAAAGCCCUAGAAAAGUUGAUGCACUCUGAUCCAGUUAUCACUGAGCCUUCGGAGUCAAUUUCUGAGAAUCAAACAAACGUAGAUGAGCUCCAAGAUGCAUCAACCUUUUCAUCUUCUGGAGCUGCUGGACAUUUUUUGGAGGAUAGCAAUUGUAACCAGAUCGAAGUCAAAGCUAUUCCCCCCCAAUCUGAAUUUGUGCCACAAGAUUCUCAAGAAGUUCUUCUAGAAGAUUCAAAUGUGAAAGCAUGUACUGGUACUACUUCAGUUGAUGAUGCAAAGGAUUGGUGUACAACUAACAUCGAUUUGGGGACAAGUCAUGAUGCAAGUGACCCUGGUCAAUCUAUGAGUACUCGUAUGGAUUUGAAUGAUGCUUAUAAGAUUGCUGUUGGUGAUAAGGGAAGCUUGUCAUCUCCUAGAUUUACUGAUGUAAUCAUUGGGAGGGAUUCUUCUAGAGUUCAGGAAGAUCUGAAACUCCUGAUUUCUCAGAUAUCUGCAGCUCAGGGGCUUGAGUCUCCAUGGAAUGAAAUGAGCCCUAGUCCCCGAGUAUAUGGACAAGGUGAUGAAUAUAUAUUGCAGAACAUAACUAAAACACUCUCUCUUGAGAGGAAUGAAUCAGGAUUAGAGUCACUAGAUGGAAGCAUUGUAAGUGAGGUGGAAGGAGAAAGUCCAGUUGAGAGGCUGAAGCGGCAGGUUGAGUUGGACAGGAAGUCCAUAAGUCUUCUCUUCAAGGAGUUAGAAGAAGAAAGAAGUGCUUCAGCAAUUGCAGCAAAUCAAGCAAUGGCCAUGAUUACUAGGUUGCAAGAGGAGAAGGCUGCAAUGCAUAUGGAAGCCCUGCAGUACCAAAGAAUGAUGGAAGAGCAAGCAGAGUAUGACCAUGAAGCACUUCAAAAAUGUAACAAAUUGCUUACUCAAAGGGAGAAAAUGAUACAAGGCUUGGAAGCUGAGGUGGAAAGCCUUAGAAUAUGCUUUGUAGAAGGAUUAUCCACUGACAAUUCAGUGGAGCAGAGUGAUAACUUCCAUGAUAAGGAGAUUGCAUCUUGGAACAAAUCCGGGGAACCUCAUGUAACAUGUCAAAAUUCAAGAUGGAGUGAAUUUGGGGAUUUGAAGGAUCCCUUAUCUUGCUUUGAAGAUGAGGAGGCAUAUAUAUUAAACUGUUUGACAAAGUUGGAGAAAAAGCUUCAUCUUUUUUCCAAUAAUGGUGUUUAUGAUGAUAGUUCAAGUUUUAAUUUGAAUGCUGAUGAUGAAAAUGGACUUCCUGAUAAAACAAGUGGGGAUGUUGACAGAGAAUUUUUUGUAGAAAGGAAUGUUGUGUCAGAAGGUGGUGCGGGCACAAAUGGUCAAAUCUUUGACGAAGUUCAAGUUUCAAGUCAAGAGAAAAUUUAUCAGAAAGAUGGUCCUCCAGAAAAUAUUCAGGUAGGAGAGAACAUUAUGAUGGAAGAAAAAAUUUCUGGAAAAAGUUCAAGUUCCUCUAAAGGAAACCGUGGAGACAGUUAUGACAUUGACAAGCAAAAAUUAUUGAAAGUAGGGAACAAGAAUGAGUUAGUUGCUCUUGAGAAUGAAGUGUCACGUCUGAGUCAGAGGUUGGAGGCACUUGAGGCAGAUCGUAAUUUCCUGGAACAUGCCAUUAACUCACUCAGAAGUGGCAACAAUGGUGUUCAGAUUAUUCAAGAGAUAGCUUGUGAUCUGCGGGAAUUACGGAGAAUUGCAAUCACCCGAUGAGAGCGUCUUAUAACUUGAACUUUUAUCUUAUCCAAAAGGUUGGUGCAUGUAGCGGGCAAUACACUAGUUGUAUUGGGUAAAUGUAGAAUCAAGGGCGAGCUUACUGCCUGGUUCUGACCCCCUAAAAGAAAAGCUCCAGAUAAUAAGCUCAGUUUCUGCAGGGCUUGGAUCGACGCACGAAGUCUUAGCAUCUACAAUUAUGUAUUAUUUUCUAUAUUCAGAAAUGUGUGUAUUACCCAAUGAGUGUUUUUCUUUUCUUUUCUUCUUUGUGUUUGCUUGGUGUUGUGUUGUCUUUUUGUCCUCAUGGUCUCUUAACUACAUUCCCUCCGGAGUAUUCUUUAAACUCUUUAAAAUAUGUGUAAAUUUGUAAUAGGGUGAUUUUUUUGUAUGAUAGUAAUAACUUGCACACUGUAAAGUUCCUUCUGUAUUCGCGUA
Musa acuminata AAA Group (dessert banana) is the source of this 3787-nucleotide RNA transcript. It is a transcript of the gene named myosin-binding protein 1-like, with no coding region annotated. Lineage: Eukaryota; Viridiplantae; Streptophyta; Magnoliopsida; Zingiberales; Musaceae. The record is from RefSeq and is a predicted model, not a curated record. The transcript is spliced from 5 exons.